UCUACCUGUGACCUUGCUGUGUGGCCCCAGGUGUGCUAUGUCAUUUCCAGGUCUUUUUCUUUGCAACCUUGGGAACUUCUGGGUGAAAUAUGAAACUGCUCCCAUACACAGACGUCAAGGAGAGAUUGAAGAAAGAGGCAGAGCACUCCAGAUUGUUGAGUGGCUGGAGUAACCUACAGGUCUUAUUACCAGAAGAAAGAAUGCCCGCACCAGGAGAUGAAGCAAUCAUUUCCCUGAAUGGCAAGUUAAGACUGCCAAAUGGCCACUUUUAGGUCCUCAUGCCUCUGAAUCAACAGAUGAGGAAAAGCGUACUUUGCUGCAUGCGGUUUUUGAUUGUGACAAAAUGUCAAAUA
Molecule: long non-coding RNA, 353 nt
Organism: Equus quagga
Lineage: Eukaryota; Metazoa; Chordata; Mammalia; Perissodactyla; Equidae
Exons: 3
Source: RefSeq, a predicted model, not a curated record